RNAcentral lists this unclassified non-coding RNA (520 nucleotides) under uncultured Entrophospora. Its description in RNAcentral is "SSU rRNA". It matches the Rfam family "Eukaryotic small subunit ribosomal RNA", at positions 569 to 1078 of the family's 1831-position model. The record is from RNAcentral. Lineage: Eukaryota; Fungi; Glomeromycota; Glomeromycetes; Entrophosporales; Entrophosporaceae.
AGCAGCCGCGGUAAUUCCAGCUCCAAUAGCGUAUAUUAAAGUUGUUGCAGUUAAAAGCUCGUAGUUGAAUUUCGGGAUUGGCGCAUCGGUCGUGCCUCACGGGGUAUGAACUGGUGCAGUCAAUUUCUCACCUUCUGGAGAACCGCGAUGUCCUUAAUUGGAUGCCGCGGGGAACCAGGACCUUUACUUUGAAAAAUUGGAGUGUUUAAAGCAGGCAUUUUUGCUUGAAUACAUUAGCAUGGAAUAAUAAAAUAGGACGGCAUGGUUCUAUUUUGUUGGUUUCUAGGACCACCGUAAUGAUUAAUAGGGAUAGUUGGGGGCAUUAGUAUUCAAUUGUCAGAGGUGAAAUUCUUGGAUUUUAUUGAAGACUAACUACUGCGAAAGCAUUUGCCAAGGAUGUUUUCAUUAAUCAAGAACGAAAGUUAGGGGAUCGAAGACGAUCAGAUACCGUCGUAGUCUUAACCAUAAACUAUGCCGAACUAGGAAUCAGACGAUGUUUAAAUUUUUUAAUGUAACUUCG